This is a long non-coding RNA of Capsicum annuum, 137 nucleotides long. RefSeq lists it as uncharacterized. NCBI's taxonomy places the organism in Eukaryota, Viridiplantae, Streptophyta, Magnoliopsida, Solanales, Solanaceae. The record is from RefSeq and is a predicted model, not a curated record. The transcript has 2 exons.
ACAGGCAAGAAAGGCAUUAAGAGCAUUAAUAGGAUUAGUAAAAUUACAAGGAUUGGUUAGGGGUUAUUUGGCAAAAAAGGCAUUAAGAGCAUUAAAAGGAUUAGUAAAAUUACAAGCAUUGGUUAGGGGUUAUUUGG